Molecule: ribosomal RNA, 1856 nt
Filed under: Escherichia coli
Lineage: Bacteria; Pseudomonadati; Pseudomonadota; Gammaproteobacteria; Enterobacterales; Enterobacteriaceae
Description: partial 23S ribosomal RNA
Rfam family: Bacterial large subunit ribosomal RNA
Source: RNAcentral
GGUUAAGCGACUAAGCGUACACGGUGGAUGCCCUGGCAGUCAGAGGCGAUGAAGGACGUGCUAAUCUGCGAUAAGCGUCGGUGAGGUGAUAUGAACCGUUAUAACCGGCGAUUUCCGAAUGGGGAAACCCAGUGUGUUUCGACACACUAUCAUUAACUGAAUCCAUAGGUUAAUGAGGCGAACCGGGGGAACUGAAACAUCUAAGUACCCCGAGGAAAAGAAAUCAACCGAGAUUCCCCCAGUAGCGGCGAGCGAACGGGGAGGAGCCCAGAGCCUGAAUCAGUGUGUGUGUUAGUGGAAGCGUCUGGAAAGGCGCGCGAUACAGGGUGACAGCCCCGUACACAAAAAUGCACAUACUGUGAGCUCGAUGAGUAGGGCGGGACACGUGGUAUCCUGUCUGAAUAUGGGGGGACCAUCCUCCAAGGCUAAAUACUCCUGACUGACCGAUAGUGAACCAGUACCGUGAGGGAAAGGCGAAAAGAACCCCGGCGAGGGGAGUGAAAAAGAACCUGAAACCGUGUACGUACAAGCAGUGGGAGCCUCUUAAUGGGGUGACUGCGUACCUUUUGUAUAAUGGGUCAGCGACUUAUAUUCUGUAGCAAGGUUAACCGAAUAGGGGAGCCGAAGGGAAACCGAGUCUUAACUGGGCGUUAAGUUGCAGGGUAUAGACCCGAAACCCGGUGAUCUAGCCAUGGGCAGGUUGAAGGUUGGGUAACACUAACUGGAGGACCGAACCGACUAAUGUUGAAAAAUUAGCGGAUGACUUGUGGCUGGGGGUGAAAGGCCAAUCAAACCGGGAGAUAGCUGGUUCUCCCCGAAAGCUAUUUAGGUAGCGCCUCGUGAAUUCAUCUCCGGGGGUAGAGCACUGUUUCGGCAAGGGGGUCAUCCCGACUUACCAACCCGAUGCAAACUGCGAAUACCGGAGAAUGUUAUCACGGGAGACACACGGCGGGUGCUAACGUCCGUCGUGAAGAGGGAAACAACCCAGACCGCCAGCUAAGGUCCCAAAGUCAUGGUUAAGUGGGAAACGAUGUGGGAAGGCCCAGACAGCCAGGAUGUUGGCUUAGAAGCAGCCAUCAUUUAAAGAAAGCGUAAUAGCUCACUGGUCGAGUCGGCCUGCGCGGAAGAUGUAACGGGGCUAAACCAUGCACCGAAGCUGCGGCAGCGACACUAUGUGUUGUUGGGUAGGGGAGCGUUCUGUAAGCCUGUGAAGGUGUACUGUGAGGUAUGCUGGAGGUAUCAGAAGUGCGAAUGCUGACAUAAGUAACGAUAAAGCGGGUGAAAAGCCCGCUCGCCGGAAGACCAAGGGUUCCUGUCCAACGUUAAUCGGGGCAGGGUGAGUCGACCCCUAAGGCGAGGCCGAAAGGCGUAGUCGAUGGGAAACAGGUUAAUAUUCCUGUACUUGGUGUUACUGCGAAGGGGGGACGGAGAAGGCUAUGUUGGCCGGGCGACGGUUGUCCCGGUUUAAGCGUGUAGGCUGGUUUUCCAGGCAAAUCCGGAAAAUCAAGGCUGAGGCGUGAUGACGAGGCACUACGGUGCUGAAGCAACAAAUGCCCUGCUUCCAGGAAAAGCCUCUAAGCAUCAGGUAACAUCAAAUCGUACCCCAAACCGACACAGGUGGUCAGGUAGAGAAUACCAAGGCGCUUGAGAGAACUCGGGUGAAGGAACUAGGCAAAAUGGUGCCGUAACUUCGGGAGAAGGCACGCUGAUAUGUAGGUGAAGCGACUUGCUCGUGGAGCUGAAAUCAGUCGAAGAUACCAGCUGGCUGCAACUGUUUAUUAAAAACACAGCACUGUGCAAACACGAAAGUGGACGUAUACGGUGUGACGCCUGCCCGGUGCCGGAAGGUUAAUUGA